RNAcentral lists this transfer RNA (77 nucleotides) under Candidatus Ventrenecus avicola. Its description in RNAcentral is "tRNA-Thr". It matches the Rfam family "tRNA". Rfam says of the family: Transfer RNA (tRNA) molecules are approximately 80 nucleotides in length. The record is from RNAcentral.
GCUCCCUUAGCACAGUUGGCUAGUGCGUCGCACUUGUAAUGCGAAGGUCAUCCGUUCGAAUCGGAUAGGGAGCUCCA